CGAACGGGUGAGUAAUGCGUGACCAACCUGCCCCAUGCUCCAGAAUAGCUCUUGGAAACGGGUGGUAAUGCUGGAUGCUCCAACUUGACGCAUGUCUUGUUGGGGAAGUGUUUAGUGGCAUGGGAUGGGGUCGCGUCCUAUCAGCUUGUAGGCGGGGUAAUGGCCCACCUAGGCUUCGACGGGUAGCCGGCCUGAGAGGGCGGACGGCCACAUUGGGACUGAGAUACGGCCCAGACUCCUACGGGAGGCAGCAGUU
This 256-nucleotide ribosomal RNA is filed under the name uncultured Gardnerella sp. RNAcentral describes it as "partial 16S ribosomal RNA". It matches the Rfam family "Bacterial small subunit ribosomal RNA", at positions 99 to 355 of the family's 1533-position model. Lineage: Bacteria; Bacillati; Actinomycetota; Actinomycetes; Bifidobacteriales; Bifidobacteriaceae. The record is from RNAcentral.